CCUACGGGGAGCAGCAGUGAGGAAUAUUGGUCAAUGGACGCAAGUCUGAACCAGCCAUGCCGCGUGCAGGAAGACGGCUCUAUGAGUUGUAAACUGCUUUUGUACGAGGGUAAACGCAGAUACGCGUAUCUUUCUGAAAGUAUCGUACGAAUAAGGAUCGGCUAACUCCGUGCCAGCAGCCGCGGUAAUACGGAGGAUUCAAGCGUUAUCCGGAUUUAUUGGGUUUAAAGGGUGCGUAGGCGGUCGGAUAAGUUAGAGGUGAAAUCCCGAGGCUCAACUUCGGAAUUGCUUCUGAUACUGUUCGGCUAGAGAGUAGUUGCGGUAGGCGGAAUGUAUGGUGUAGCGGUGAAAUGCUUAGAGAUCAUACAGAACACCGAUUGCGAAGGCAGCUUACCAAGCUACUUCUGACGUUGAGGCACGAAAGCGUGGGGAGCAAACAGGAUUAGAUACCCUUGUAGUC
This 460-nucleotide ribosomal RNA is filed under the name uncultured bacterium. RNAcentral describes it as "partial 16S ribosomal RNA". It matches the Rfam family "Bacterial small subunit ribosomal RNA", at positions 338 to 795 of the family's 1533-position model. The record is from RNAcentral.